RNAcentral lists this ribosomal RNA (148 nucleotides) under Pseudo-nitzschia abrensis. Its description in RNAcentral is "partial 18S ribosomal RNA". Lineage: Eukaryota; Bacillariophyta; Bacillariophyceae; Bacillariales; Bacillariaceae. The record is from RNAcentral.
GUCUUCAUUGUGAUCGGAACCGGUUGUCUGUUAGGCAUGUUGACUGGUCGUCUAUCGUCUGCCUUUUGGGUGGAUGUGUCGGCCAUGAGUGUUGAGAGGCACGAGUGUUCCAAACUUAAUCUCGGGAGCGAGUUGCCGGGAGCGUGGU